ACAAAUUUACAGCUUAUUAUCUAUCAUUCCGAGGUUGAGCCUCCUUUUUGACUAUACUUAUUACGUUAUUAUACAUCCAAAAGUUCAACCAUCACCCGUAUCAUGUCACAAAUAAAUAUUAAUAAAUAGCAAGUAAUUAAUACCGAGCAAUAUUAAACAGAGGAUCACUACUUUUUGGGAUCGACUUCUCAACUGUCCCUGUGAGAUAGCCUCUGACUAUUUCGAUUACAGCUCUUUACUCGCAAAAGUACUCGUAGACCACUUCAUCAACUGAAGGAGUACUGGUUGAGACACCGGUGUCCCGUAAGAAAAUGCGAACAGAUACUGUUGUAGUUCUUCUGACAUCUGUCUACAGUCGGAUAAAUUUAGACGCCUUAGCAAUUUAGAUAACCUAACGUAUUUUAACUCUACCGCUCUGUAGCAGGAAAACGAUAAAUUAGCAUCAGAUCGCUGCGUUGUCAAUUUGAGAAUACUAUCUUCAAAUUUAUCUCUAUGUAGAUUUCCACCUUCAUAUAAUAUGUAUCAAAUGUUACAACAUAAAAAAGCAAAACCCAGUAAUAAUAGGUGGAAUGAGCUGAAAAACUCACUGCUUAAGCAGAAGGUGGAUGGUUUCAACUCAUUGACAUACACAUAUAAGGUAAUGAAAAAGGAGUUUUAUACUCAUAUUAUGGUGUAAUGUACAAUAAAAUUAUGUUAAAUUUAAUAAACAUUUGUCACACUUUUAAAUUUA
This is a long non-coding RNA of Agrilus planipennis (emerald ash borer), 730 nucleotides long. RefSeq lists it as uncharacterized. The transcript has 4 exons. The record is from RefSeq and is a predicted model, not a curated record. Lineage: Eukaryota; Metazoa; Arthropoda; Insecta; Coleoptera; Buprestidae.